CUUUUUUAGAGUCAUCAACCCAUAGAUAACCAGCGAAAGUAAACAGGGAAGCACGAUUUUCGACGGCUGAACCCUGGAGAACAGCUGACUUGGGGAUCUGGGCUCUGGAUGAGCAUACAGCCGCGGAGACUCAGGAGUGGGCGUUGAGCUGGGGAAAGAACGGGGAGAACGUGCCUCUCACACAGCAAGUAUUUGAAGAAGGAUGAGUCACCGUCUUGGGUCCAAUUCCCCUGCAAGACUGAGGAAGACGAGGACCGAAACCACCCUCUGUGCCCACGCCCUUCGCAGGAACCGUUGAGUGAGGUGGCGGAGACAAAAGCUGCCUGUAGCGGAUUCGAGGGAGAAUACAAAAUAAGGACUUUGGCACAGAGAACAAAAUACUCUCACGAGGACGAGAGAUGAAGAAAUGGAGCUACGGAAGGAUGGGCUCGUGCAGUAAAGGAAGAAUUUCUUUCCCGGGAUGGGAGAUAUUAUACCGUACGUGUAAGAAAGACAGACGGAUGGGACAGACGGAGAAUGUGACGGACAGAGUGUCUGCGAGAGCAAACACAGCAGUCUGGAACCACUGAACACACAUCAGCCAACAUGGGAAGCAGACAUCUGGCCCAGGAGAGAAAUCAAAACAGGAAGAGUGGGUUCCACAUGGCAUCUGCCUCACUAGAGGUGUAAUGCCUGUGAUUGCUACAGCAAGAGUUCCUCACUUUUACUGCAGGAAGGCUGCCCAUUUCAGCCUUGUGCCCCGGCAAAGCAAGAAUUUACAAGGUGAGAAAUUUCUUAUUAUAGCAAAGAGGUUCAAAGAAUGAGGCAGCCAAAAAGAGUGACAAAUAUCUGCUACACAGCACAUGUAUAGAUUAACAUUAUGAAUAAGAUGUUAUUUUUCUAUUUGGCUGUAAAGAAUCCUGGCAAACACUGCCUUAGACAGGUGAUGAAGGUCAACUUCACCCCAGUGAUAAGUCAUGUACCCCCAACAUACACCAAUGUGAUGUCAUGAGAAUGGAAGUUCAUCUCUGUGGUCACGCUCCCCAAAAUGCACAACCCCCGUUUAACCAUGAGAAAAGCAUCCAGCAAGAGACAAAAUACCUGAAGAGCUUUUGUCAAAAGAAAGUCAUCAAAAAUAAGCAAAGACGGAGACCCUGUCACAAAGCAGAGAAGGCUAAGGAGACAGGACAACUAAGUAUAAUGUCCUGGAUUGUAUCCUGGAACAUAAAAGACAUAGGAAAAAACUAGUGAACUCUGAAUAAAAUGUGGAGAGCUCCGCAGACUUUGGGCUAAGAUCAAAUAUGAAUAAAAUGAGUUCAGUUAAAAGUAAUGUACCAGUGUUGGCUUCUUAGUGUGACAAAUGUACCAUAGUAAUGUAACACAUUAAUAACAGGGAAACUGGGUGUGUGAAGGAUAUAGGGGAACUCUCUGUACUGUCUUUCCAAGUUUUCUGUAAAUAAAAAACUAUUAUAACACAAAAGGUUUAUUUAAAAAAAGAAUACUUUUGCACCAGCUGGUUAAUGUUCUUAUGGACACUAGUGUGAAGAUAUGCCCCCAUUUUCUCCCUCCCCUUUACAUCAAACUGUAAUGACUGGUAAAGUACUUUAAACUAAUACCAUUGUCAUUUGUAGCUUCUUUUCAUUUUAACUGAGAUUGAUUCAAAGUAUUUAAAGCUUGUAAUUUUCUAUUUCUACAGCAUCUCACAAAUAAUCACAAGCAAGCACAACUAACAAUUUCCUUAGCUUGUUAGAUCUGGGAAACAUUUCUUUGCUGAGGUCAUAUCUGGAUAGUAGUGGUUCAAAGUUAUAUAUCCUGAUAGGAUCUGGGGCUGGGAAUAUUCUUAUCCAUAUUAAAAGAUGGGAUUUAGCCUGUGACCGUGAACAUAAAGGGGCUAGAUCAGUUAUUCUCAUUGAAUGAAAGGCAUGUCUCUUCUCCAUAUGGAGGUAAGCUGUGGGAGAUUCACCUCAGGAAUUUAACAAACGAUUAUAAAGUUGUUCUGAACAUUUUCAAAAAAAUAUUAUUACUUAUAAAACUGAUGUGUAACCAAAAUAUAUUAGGUCCAACCCUUUAAUUAAAGUCAAAUUCUUACUCAAGAACAUACCUGUGUGUCUGAAUUCUCAGCCACUGACGAGUAACUUUAUUAAAAAGUAUUAUUUAAACCCGAUUAGCUGCUGACUCCACCAGAAUUUCAAAAGAGAAGGAACUGUAAACCUUUUGGGCAGGAUAUGGGUUUCGUGGGAAGGUUUUUUAGCAACCCUAUGUUCACAGACAUGCAGUAAACAUUCUGUCUACCCAGAAAGUACCCAGAAAGUACCUCUUUGCCAAAAUUCAAACUUGUUUGAUGUUCAC
This is a non-coding RNA of Kogia breviceps (pygmy sperm whale), 2328 nucleotides long. The record is from RefSeq and is a predicted model, not a curated record. Lineage: Eukaryota; Metazoa; Chordata; Mammalia; Artiodactyla; Physeteridae.